ACUCGGAUUGCACUGGACAAGCUGCUGUGAUCUGACCCAUGGGUAUCAGUUGUAGUGUUUGGGGUCGUUAAAUCUUAAGACUCAAGUCAGAGUUCCGUGACAGAUACACCAUUUGUGCGUGUAGGUGGACUAUGUACAGCGGCACUAAAGAAAGUACUCCGUAGGAUUGUAGUUCCUGACUAGAGAAGAGAGGAGCGGGAUCUGGUUUUGAAGCGCCCGCCGCUCUGUGGGUCCACAGACUAGCUAGUGGAAAGCGCAAAUCUCAGGUUGAACAAGGAGGAAAAGAGCUGGAAUCACAGAGGAGACCCCUGAAUGACCUUAGGGAUCUGGACUUCCGGGCUGGUGACUGGCCUCCACCUUUGACGCCUCCGUGGCGUCUACUAGAGACGGCAUUCGAGGCGGCUGCCGGCGUGAGACUGUCUCCACUUUUCCUCCGUUUGUGGCUGCUGUUGGUUAGCCGUUCCCUCACCUUGUUUUCUCACAUAUCCUCACUUCUGUGUCCAACCCACAGUAGUCGCUCCCAAUGCACUUCCUGGAAAGAGAAAAAUGAGGAGCCUAAAGGAGGUUCAGCUGGUGAAGGUGCUUGGUGUCCAAGCUUGAACGCCCGAGUUUGAUCCCUGGAUCCCAUGUAA
Molecule: long non-coding RNA, 632 nt
Filed under: Mus spretus (western wild mouse)
Lineage: Eukaryota; Metazoa; Chordata; Mammalia; Rodentia; Muridae
Description: lncRNA (ENSMSPG00010048705.1)
Source: RNAcentral